GAACGUUGGCGGCGUGGAUUAGGCAUGCAAGUCGAGCGAGCAAACUUUUUUUCGAAAAAGUGGAGAGCGGCGAAAGGGAGAGUAACGCGUAGAAACGUACCCCGAGGCCCGGAAUAGCGGUGAGAAAUCGCCGGUAAUGCCGGAUAACGUCUCUGGACCAAAGGUUUACCACCUGGGGAGCGGUCUGCGUUCUAUUAGCUUGUUGGUGGGGUAAAAGCCUACCAAGGCAAAGAUGGAUACCGGGCGUGAGAGCGUGACCCGGCUCACUGGGACUGAGACACUGCCCAGACACCUACGGGUGGCUGCAGUCGAGAAUCUUCCGCAAUGGACGAAAGUCUGACGGAGCGACGCCGCGUGCUGGAUGAAGGCCUUCGGGUUGUAAACAGCUGUCAUAGGGGAGGAAAUUUUGACCGAUCCUAAGAGGAAGCACAGGCUAAGUUCGUGCCAGCAGCCGCGGUAACACGAACUGUGCGAACGUUAUUCGGAAUCACUGGGCUUAAAGGGUGCGUAGGCGGCCAAGUAGGUCAGAUGUGAAAGCCCACGGCUCAUCCGUGGAAUUGCGUUUGAAACCACUUGGCUUGAGUAAGAUAGAGGUAAGCGGAACUGAUGGUGGAGCGGUGAAAUGCGUUGAUAUCAUCAGGAACACCGGUGGCGAAAGCGGCUUACUGGGUCUUUACUGACGCUGAGGCACGAAAGCUAGGGGAGCGAACGGGAUUAGAUACCCCGGUAGUCCUAGCUGUAAACGUUGAGCACUA
RNAcentral lists this ribosomal RNA (755 nucleotides) under uncultured bacterium. RNAcentral's name for it is "bacterial SSU rRNA". It matches the Rfam family "Bacterial small subunit ribosomal RNA", at positions 31 to 818 of the family's 1533-position model. The record is from RNAcentral.